This is a long non-coding RNA of Acanthochromis polyacanthus (spiny chromis), 518 nucleotides long. RefSeq lists it as uncharacterized. The transcript has 4 exons. Lineage: Eukaryota; Metazoa; Chordata; Actinopteri; Pomacentridae. The record is from RefSeq and is a predicted model, not a curated record.
AGAUUCUUGCAGGACUCAGUGAAAGUCUUCCAAAGCUCCAGUCAGCUCUCCAUCGUGUCAACAUCCAUCACAACAACAUCCAUCCAAUAAGACAAAGCUUCUCUUGUGAUUUCAAAUAUGGAAAGUUUUUAGAGGGAACAAUCCGAUAUCAAGCAUCAACAUGCAGAGUGCAGACAGGGUGUGUUGGUGACAGGCCUCCAGGACGUUGGCAGUGUGUGUUAAAAGCCAGAGUUAAGGUGUUUUUGCCGGGAGCUCCCGGUCGCUCUGGUUCUUACCACGCUUGGAGGAUUUACUGGGCAAAGAAGCUGAGCGCUGAGAGCCAUCUGAGAGCAGAGGACAGUGUCAGAAACACCAACCAACGCACUGAGGCCCAGCGCUUCAUCAGCAGGCUCACGAUGAAGUCCACAGUGGUGUGAGCUGCUGAUGAGACGUGUGUGAGCGCAACAGCAUGCCAGCAGAGCCAGCCAGCCAGGUGCAUUGUGGGAAACCAGUCAGUGCGUGGGAGGGUCGGACACUUA